CCUACGGGUGGCAGCAGUGGGGAAUAUUGGACAAUGGGCGCAAGCCUGAUCCAGCAAUGCCGCGUGGGUGAAGAAGGUCUUCGGAUUGUAAAGCCCUUUCGGCGGGGACGAUGAUGACGGUACCCGCAGAAGAAGCCCCGGCUAACUUCGUGCCAGCAGCCGCGGUAAUACGAAGGGGGCUAGCGUUGCUCGGAAUGACUGGGCGUAAAGGGCGCGUAGGCGGCCCUGUCAGUCCGGCGUGAAAGCCCUGGGCUCAACCUGGGGACGGCGCUGGAGACGGCGGGGCUGGAGGGCAGGAGAGGCUCGCGGAAUUCCCAGUGUAGAGGUGAAAUUCGUAGAUAUUGGGAAGAACACCGGUGGCGAAGGCGGCGAGCUGGCCUGUCUCUGACGCUGAGGCGCGACAGCGUGGGGAGCAAACAGGAUUAGAUACCCGAGUAGUC
RNAcentral lists this ribosomal RNA (440 nucleotides) under uncultured bacterium. RNAcentral's name for it is "bacterial SSU rRNA". It matches the Rfam family "Bacterial small subunit ribosomal RNA", at positions 338 to 795 of the family's 1533-position model. The record is from RNAcentral.